Molecule: ribosomal RNA, 1426 nt
Filed under: uncultured bacterium
Lineage: Bacteria
Description: bacterial SSU rRNA
Rfam family: Bacterial small subunit ribosomal RNA
Source: RNAcentral
GAGUUUGAUCAUGGCUCAGGACGUACGCUGGCGGCGUGCUUAACACAUGCAAGUCGAACGGGCCUUGUCCUCUUUUUUUUUGGGGGUGGGGUUAGUGGCGAACGGGUGAGUAACACGUGAGUAACCUGCCCCUCACUUCUGGAUAACCGCUUGAAAGGGUGGCUAAUACGGGGUGUUCUGGCCUGCUCGCAUGGGUGGGUUUGGAAAGAUUCGACCGGUUUUGGUUGUUUUGGUGGGGGAUGGGCUCGCGGCCUAUCAGCUUGUUGGUGGGGUGAUGGCCUGCCAAGGCUUUGACGGGUAGCCGGCCUGAGAGGGUGGGCGGUCACACUGGGACUGAGACACGGCCCAGACUCCUACUGUUUUUUGCAGUGGGGAAUAUUGCACAAUGGGCGGGGGGGGGGGGCAGCGACGCCGCGUGAGGGAUGGAGGCCUUCUGGUUGUGAACCUCUUUCGCCAGUGAAGAAGGUCCUGCUCUUUGUGGUGGGGUUGACCGUAACUGGGUUAAUGAAGCGCCGGCUAACUACGUGCCAGCACCCGCGGUAAUACGUAGGGCGGCGAGCGUUGUCCGGGAAUUAUUGGGCGUAAAGGGCUUGUAGGCGGCUGGUCGCGUCUGCCGUGAAAUCCUCUGGCUCAGCUGGGGGCGUGCGGUGGGUACGGGCUGGCUUGAGUGCGGUAGAGGAGACUGGAACUCCUGGUGUAGCGGUGGAAUGCGCAGAUAUCAGGAGGAACACCGGUGGCGAAGGCGGGUCUCUGGGCCGUUACUGACGCUGAGGAGCGAAAGCGUGGGGAGCGAACAGGAUUAGAUACCCUGGUAGUCCACGCUGUAAACGUUGGGCACUAGGUGUGGGGGGCCUUUUCCGGGUUUUCCGCGCCGUAGCUAACGCAUUAAGUGCCCCGCCUGGGGAGUACGGCCGCAAGGCUAAAACUCAAAGGAAUUGACGGGGGCCCGCACAAGCGGCGGAGCAUGCGGAUUAAUUCGAUGCAACGCGAAGAACCUUACCAAGGCUUGACAUGGGCUGGAUUGCUUCGGAGACGGGGUUUCCCUUUUUUGGGCUGGUUCACAGGUGGUGCAUGGUUGUCGUCAGCUCGUGUCGUGAGAUGUUGGGUUAAGUCCCGCAACGAGCGCAACCCUUGUCUCGUGUUGCCAGCACGUUGUGGUGGGGACUCGCGGGAGACUGCCGGGGUUAACUCGGAGGAAGGUGGGGAUGACGUCAAAUCAUCAUGCCCCUUAUGUCUUGGGCUUCACGCAUGCUACAAUGGCCGGUACAGUGGGUUGCGAUGCUGUGAGGCGGAGCGAAUCCCUGAAAGCCGGUCUCAGUUCGGAUCGGUGUCUGCAACUCGACACCGUGAAGUUGGAGUCGCUAGUAAUCGCAGAUCAGCAGCGCUGCGGUGAAUACGUUCUCGGGCCUUGCACACACCGCCCGUC